This 749-nucleotide long non-coding RNA is filed under the name Mytilus galloprovincialis (Mediterranean mussel). Lineage: Eukaryota; Metazoa; Mollusca; Bivalvia; Mytilida; Mytilidae. The record is from RNAcentral.
AUAUCAUUUAAUCAGCUGACACAUACAUAUUGCACAUUUUAUGUUUAUAACAUCAAAACAAAUUAUAAAAAUAAUCUAUCAAAAUACAAUACAGUCAAACCUACAAUUAUAGGUCACCCUAGGGACAGAUAAAAGUGACAUAAAUUGAUGUUCAAAAUAGAUAGGUAUUACAUAUACUACAGGGGCACAAGAAUAGGAUUUACAUGUACUACAGUGGCACAAGAAAGGUAUUACAUGUACUACAGUGGCACAACAAGAGGGUAACCUAAGUCACCUGAUGAGACAAGCUUUUAAUUCAUAGAGAUGACUUUCAUAGCAGGUUUGACUGUAAGCAUACUGUAGAAUCAUUAUUGUUCAUAGGUAUCACAUUUUGGUGGACUUUCUGGUCAAGGAUUAAGUAUAUGUUAUAUUCAAGGAAGCACAAAUUCUAUGUAGGAUUUUAUGCAGACUUCACAAAAUCAGUGAAAUAUCACAAAAAUAGGAUAUUAAGUCAAUCCACAAAUAAAAUAAUUCACAGUACAUUGUCAGCAAAAUAAAGUUGCUUUAUAAUCAGGUGAGCUUUUCUCCCUAUUUUUAUUGAGAACAAAUAUACUUGAUAUCUAACAUUUAUAUUGGUACCCUCCAACUUGACAUCCCUGCUCAAAUGUUUAGUUUUUAACUUGUAAAUGCAAGGAGACAAUAUUUGUAAUCACAGGAUUUUUUCUUGGUUAAAUUACAGGUGUAACAUUACUUUCAGUCAUUUAAUAAAA